GGACUUACCAAUUUGGGCUCCGUCCAGGAGCUGAAAACUGAUUACAAAUAUGAAACGGAUUUCACUACAGGACUUGAACUCUACAUUAAAAAACAAUGAGCUUCCCAAAAUAAUUGAAAAAGAUCUUCACCCAAGAGUAGCUGCAAUGUGAAUGGCAGGAUAUGAAGCAAGUAAAAGAGUUGGCAUGGCAGAGCCAGGCCUUUUUUCUGUACUUGGGGAUCUCAGCAUGUCCUCAGAGCCUGAGAGAACCAGCCUGUGCCAAGUAUCUGUGUGGUCUAGGCUGGGUCUCUGGUCAACAGGAUUCUCAUUGAGCCACAGUGACUCUUCUCCCUCAUGGAUUCAGGCCCUUCACCAUGGCUCUGAUGGUGAAAAGAUUAUCUUAAGCUGGGAAUUAAGUGAUGAAAGGGACCUUGGAAAUUAUCAACUCUAA
RNAcentral lists this long non-coding RNA (430 nucleotides) under Macaca mulatta (Rhesus monkey). RNAcentral's name for it is "lncRNA (ENSMMUG00000064577.1)". Lineage: Eukaryota; Metazoa; Chordata; Mammalia; Primates; Cercopithecidae. The record is from RNAcentral.